GUACCAUGUCGGUUGGUUUUGCUUGGUAAGAUUUGUGACGAUGCGUCGGACAAACAACAUUGGGAAAAUAUACAGCCUUGAGCCUUGAUGACCAAUGUAUAUCUCUAUUUGAGGAAUUCUCCAAAGAUCCAGAGCCGAUUGUUUCAUAGAGUUGUGAAGUUGCGUUAAACAUACUGGAUUUUGAAUGAUCCGACAAACCAUUCGAGGUACUUGGAAGAUUAAGUCUCUUAUCUGGGUGGUUGUUACAGGUUUAGGAUGUUAAAUGAUUUUGGAUGUACUCUGCGAUGUCGAUGAUGCAGAGAUGUUGGUGAAGCUCAGGUUAACAACUUCAUGUGUAUAUUUUAAUGAAUAAAGUUUUUGUUGUUUAUAUUUUC
Molecule: long non-coding RNA, 374 nt
Organism: Helianthus annuus (common sunflower)
Lineage: Eukaryota; Viridiplantae; Streptophyta; Magnoliopsida; Asterales; Asteraceae
Exons: 3
Source: RefSeq, a predicted model, not a curated record